GUUUAUGCCGCAUGGCAUAAGAGUGAAAGGCGCUUUCGGGUGUCGCUGAUGGAUGGACCCGCGGUGCAUUAGCUAGUUGGCGAGGUAACGGCUCACCGAGGCCACGAUGCAUAGCCGACCUGAGAGGGUGAUCGGCCACGCUGGGACUGAGACACGGCCCAGACUCCUACGGGAGGCAGCAGUAGGGAAUCUUCGGCAAUGGACGAAAGUCUGACCGAGCAACGCCGCGUGAGUGAAGAAGGUUUUCGGAUCGUAAAACUCUGUUGUUAGAGAAGAACAAGGACGUUAGUAACUGAACGUCCCCUGACGG
RNAcentral lists this ribosomal RNA (310 nucleotides) under Enterococcus faecalis. RNAcentral's name for it is "bacterial SSU rRNA". It matches the Rfam family "Bacterial small subunit ribosomal RNA", at positions 179 to 475 of the family's 1533-position model. Lineage: Bacteria; Bacillati; Bacillota; Bacilli; Lactobacillales; Enterococcaceae. The record is from RNAcentral.